UGGAGAAUCUUGCACAAUGGGUGAAAGCCUGAUGCAGCAACGCCGCGUGAAGGAUGAAGGCCCUUGGGUCGUAAACUUCUGUUCUAAGGGAAGAUAGUGACGGUACCUUAGGAGCAAGUCCUGGCUAACUACGUGCCAGCAGCCGCGGUAAUACGUAGGGGGCGAGCGUUAUCCGGAAUUAUUGGGCGUAAAGAGUACGUAGGUGGUUUCCUAAGCGAGGGGUUUAAGGCAAUGGCUUAACCAUUGUUCGCCCCCCGAACUGGGUUACUUGAGUGCUGGAGGGGAAAGCGGAAUUCCUAGUGUAGCGGUGAAAUGCGUAGAUAUUAGGAGGAACACCAGUGGCGAAGGCGGCUUUCUGGACAGUAACUGACACUGAGGUACGAAAGUGUGGGGAGCAAACAG
This 402-nucleotide ribosomal RNA is filed under the name uncultured bacterium. RNAcentral's name for it is "bacterial SSU rRNA". It matches the Rfam family "Bacterial small subunit ribosomal RNA", at positions 355 to 775 of the family's 1533-position model. The record is from RNAcentral.